Molecule: ribosomal RNA, 253 nt
Filed under: uncultured bacterium
Lineage: Bacteria
Description: partial 16S ribosomal RNA
Rfam family: Bacterial small subunit ribosomal RNA
Source: RNAcentral
UACGAAGGGGGCGAGCGUUGUUCGGAAUCACUGGGCGUAAAGGGCGCGUAGGCGGCCCUCCUUGUCGCGUGUGAAAGCCCCCCGCUCAACGGGGGAAGGUCGCUGGAAACUGCGCUUCUUGAGGGCGGCAGAGGGAAGUGGAAUUGCUGGUGUAGCGGUGAAAUGCGUAGAGAUCAGCAGGAACACCCGUGGCGAAGGCGGCUUCCUGGGCCGCGCCUGACGCUGAGACGCGAAAGCGUGGGGAGCGAACGGG